UAAAAACUGCAGUAUUAGUUAGUUGCAGAUUUCUAUAUAAUGAAGGUAAGACCUAAUGUUCAUCAUCAUAGCCUGCUGACUGCUGUACAAGACUGUGUAAAACACUGUUUCCCAAAGUGCCAGUUCCACACUUGUGGAAUAACAUACUUCCAAAUCUUUAUGAAAACAGUGAACUUCACUGAGCUAAACACAACCAUAAUUAGAAGUAUUGAGCUAGGGUUUCAAAGUCUAAGUACAAUUAAUUAUGUGGAUUUAUUUUGUUGAUGAUCUCCAAGGACAACUUAUUUCUACAAUACAGUGUGAUCAAUAACUGUCAAGAGUAAUUAUAAAUGAUGAUUUUCUAAUUACCAAUUACCGAAACUGAGUCAGCAGUCAACUACUGUAUCCACUUAAUGAGGGAAAAACCCACUACAUAGCCUGGUAUGCCCUGAUGUCACAGUCAGAUACAUGGAUGGAAAGUGACAGCCAUACAACCACUUUUGGUGAUCAAGGUUCACGGAUAAAAUGCUACUGCUGUAAACAAACUCUGCUUGCUCUGUAUGGGGGGAAAAAAAAAAAAGGGAAAAAAAGGAAGCAGAGAGAAACAAAACAAUCAACUUAUGAUUUCCAAAGGAGUCUGUAAGAGUAUGACAUCCCGACACUUCAGAUUUGACUGAUGUCUUCCACUUGAAUAAUUUCAUCAAAAUCUAACAGUGGGCACAAAGAGAACUUCCAGAUAAUACUAUUGCUUUCUAACCCAGCUGGCUGCUGCAUGUGUUACAUUUUUAAUUAUCUUGAAGCCACCCAGAAGCCAUUUCUUUACCAGCACAUAAACGGGAGAAGGUGUUGCCUCAAGCCUGCUAUCUCUGAAGUCAACAGGAGAAAAAACAAUAAAUCUUUACAUAUUUUG
Pseudopipra pipra is the source of this 889-nucleotide long non-coding RNA. RefSeq lists it as uncharacterized. The record is from RefSeq and is a predicted model, not a curated record. The transcript is spliced from 3 exons. NCBI's taxonomy places the organism in Eukaryota, Metazoa, Chordata, Aves, Passeriformes, Pipridae.